Astatotilapia calliptera (eastern happy) is the source of this 1264-nucleotide long non-coding RNA. The record is from Ensembl. NCBI's taxonomy places the organism in Eukaryota, Metazoa, Chordata, Actinopteri, Cichliformes, Cichlidae.
CACAAGUUUCUGAUAUGUUUAUUUGUGGAACUGUAAGGAUAUCAGAAGUUCCUGGUAAUGUAAUGGUAAUGAGGGUUUUAUAUUUAAUUGAAAUAAAAGCUGGAGAGUCAGAAGAGCUGAUGAACAUUUUACCAAGAGAAGAAUAUGUGCCUAAAGUUUAUUUAAAAAAAAAAAAGGAAGUUCAGAGGACGGUCAGAGUAGCUAUAGCAAGAAACAGCCUUUAAAACAGAAACUGAUUCACAGUAAUGUCAAAUCCCCAGCCUCAAAACAUAUGAGCCAAGGCCUGGUCUCGUCUGGUUGUGCUAACUUAUUUAACUGACAAACGCUGAAACUUAAAUACACCUCAUGUAUAUGUUUCAAUUUUCACAAACCAAAAUCAACAGUGUACAAAUUAAAAAUAAAUUGGCUGAGGACAUAGUGACCACAAACAUUUGCAUGCGUACGUCUAACAGCAAAUAUACCGUUUCCUGUUACACUUCUUUCUUUAAUAAACAGGAAGAAAGGGAACUCAAAGUUACACAAUUCUGUUUCGAGGAUACAAAUAAAAAAAUCCCUCAGUUUUUCUUACAAGUGGGAGUGGUCAUACAGUCAAAAACACAAGUACAAACCAAGUAGCUCCAAAAUCCAAAUAUUAGACAGCUAGUUAGAAGUGCUCAUCAAUCAGAUGUUUCUUUCAUAGAUUAAAUAUUAGAAAUGUGGAAUCAGCAUUUGUUAUUGAAAUCUGUGUGAUUAUUAUUUCAAUAAUGGACCAAAAAGAAAACUAAAUUCAUAAUUAGCACUAACACCAACCAAAGUCACUGAAUUUAGAAAUGUAUCUUAACUCAUCAUGAAAUUUUAAUAAUCAGUAUAGCAACAAGCAAAGUUUGUCACAGAAUCAUUGGUCUGACUGUGGAAAGCUAUUCUACCACAAUACUGAAAUUCCUUGCAGGACUGCAGGGUAUAUUGCUUGCUCUCUGCUGUUCAUAUUUCUGAAAAUGAACAGGGAGACAUUGGUUUCCAACCUUGUUGCAUGCCACAAUCACAACCCUUUUCUUUGCACCAACUGUAAUUUUACAAUCCUUGUUGCUUUUUGUGGAUAUGACUUCAUAUAUCAGCAUUUCUGAGUUGCUGAUGCACAAGUUCCCUGCAUAGUUAUCCGUCUUGCUUAAGCGUCGACCGUCUCUGCUGCAGAUUCUGAUCACGUUCUCCAGAUCACUUUUAUUGAGGAACGAUUGCACUGUAGUUCUGCACCAGAGGUGUUCUUUUUUCAAAUACCUGCGUUAAU